Molecule: microRNA precursor, 204 nt
Filed under: Oryza brachyantha (malo sina)
Lineage: Eukaryota; Viridiplantae; Streptophyta; Magnoliopsida; Poales; Poaceae
Description: MIR812 microRNA precursor family
Rfam family: MIR812 microRNA precursor family
Source: Rfam by way of RNAcentral
AAUAAACCAAUCUUUCGCUUUUUAACUAUAACAUUUAACUCUUCGUCUUAUUCAAAAUUUUGUUGUAAUUAAUAUUUUUGUUUUUAUUAGAUGAUAAAUCAUAAAUAGUACUUUACAUGUGACUAUUUUUUUAAUUUCUUAAAAAACUUUUAUAUAAGACGGAUGGUCAAACAAUGGGCACAGAAACCGAACAUUUCGUUUAUU